UCUCAUUCCCCUCUAGGCCCGCGUGAGC
RNAcentral lists this small RNA (28 nucleotides) under Bombyx mori (domestic silkworm). RNAcentral's name for it is "ovarian small RNA-29607". Lineage: Eukaryota; Metazoa; Arthropoda; Insecta; Lepidoptera; Bombycidae. The record is from RNAcentral.